CAGGGCUAUUGUGGAAAACUUGAAAUGUCUGACUGUUAAAGUAUUUCUGAUUUGUGUGUGUAUGGAUUCAGAUGCUGGGUUGGAAUUUACAGGUUAAGGACUAAAACCUUACUUGACCGCUAUGAUUUCCUGCAAGAUUAUUUGAAGAAAAAUAUAAAGUUUUUUUUCACUUUUGUCUUACUUUUCCAGGACAGACCUACUUGUUUUGGCAGAAUUCAGAGGGCUAGAAAACUUUUCAGAAAACUAAAACUUUUUGUUUUGAAAAAUGUUACUGUGGUCCUUCUCUGACAUUGUCAUUUGGACGCCUGCUGGUCCUGUUCUGCAAAGUUGAGGCUGCCUGCCAUCUUUGAUACUGUGCCAUGAUCUCCCCUCUUCGCAGGGAGUAGAGGAAGUAGGGAAUCCUUCAAAGUGAUCAGCUGUUGAGGUUGUCAUUUAAAUGGCGAGUCCAGUUGAUAGAGGAGGAGAUCUGCCACGUGAACCAGUGAUAAGAAUUUGCUACAACCAUGCCUUAAAUAUAAUGGUGAACCUUUUUGGGUAUUCUUCCAAAGCCAGUGGACAGAGUGUAAGUGUAAGAUGCCUGCAGAGUUCACUCAACUUUGUAUUAAGGCGAGAAGAGAAAACAUGGCUAAUACUGAAAUUCAAGGAGGAAAACUGUUAAUAUGACUUGCAUUAGUUUUAGGAUGUGUUAUGUUCCAUUAUUAGUUCAAUAUUUGAAUGCAGACUAGCCAGAAUCCAUCAGGAGCUGGCAACGUGUGGUGUUCUUGAGCGAAAGCUGAUUGUUAUUUUUUUAUUGCUUGUUUUUUUUUAAGUAAAAGUUGAUUGUAAUUUUUUGUUGCAUGUUUUGCAUCUUACCCUCUUACAGAAAUAUCUUUCUAGAUAUUUUUAACUUUGUUUUCAUGGCAACAUAAUUUAGAUCCCUUCAUGACUGCUGAGCAUUAUUCCACUUUUUGGCCCUUCAUAGGCAUUAAUGAUGAAAUCUGCAAAUGAGCACAUGCUUAGUUUUGUAAGACUGCA
This 1014-nucleotide long non-coding RNA is filed under the name Struthio camelus australis. RNAcentral's name for it is "lncRNA (ENSSCUG00000017809.1)". Lineage: Eukaryota; Metazoa; Chordata; Aves; Struthioniformes; Struthionidae. The record is from RNAcentral.